This 460-nucleotide ribosomal RNA is filed under the name uncultured bacterium. Its description in RNAcentral is "partial 16S ribosomal RNA". It matches the Rfam family "Bacterial small subunit ribosomal RNA", at positions 338 to 795 of the family's 1533-position model. The record is from RNAcentral.
CCUACGGGAGGCAGCAGUGAGGAAUAUUGGUCAAUGGCCGGAAGGCUGAACCAGCCAUGCCGCGUGAAGGUCAGUGCCCUAUGGGCGUUAAACUUCUUUUGUGCGGGAGCAAUAAUGGUCACGUGUGGCCAGACGAGAGUACCGUACGAAUAAGCAUCGGCUAACUCCGUGCCAGCAGCCGCGGUAAUACGGGGGAUGCAAGCGUUAUCCGGAUAUAUUGGGUUUAAAGGGUGCGUAGGCUGUGAGGUAAGUCAGCGGUGAAAUGCCCCGGCUCAACGGGGUGAAGUGCCAUUGAUACUGCCAUGCUGGAAUGCGGAUGCCGUGGGAGGAAUGUGUGGUGUAGCGGUGAAAUGCAUAGAUAUCACACAGAACACCGAUUGCGAAGGCAUCUCACGAAUCCGCGAUUGACGCUGAUGCACGAAAGCGUGGGUAUCAAACAGGAUUAGAUACCCUAGUAGUC